CUAGAGAUAGAAAGUUACUUCGGUACAUCGGUGACAGGUGGUGCAUGGUUGUCGUCAGCUCGUGUCGUGAGAUGUUGGGUUAAGUCCCGCAACGAGCGCAACCCCUAUUGUUAGUUGCCAUCAUUCAGUUGGGCACUCUAGCGAGACUGCCGGUAAUAAACCGGAGGAAGUGGGGAUGGCGUCAAAUCAUCAUGCCCCUUAUGACCUGGGCUACACACGUGCUACAAUGGUUGGUACAACGAGUUGCGAGUCGGUGACGGCGAGCUAAUCUCUUAAAGCCAAUCUCAGUUCGGAUUGUAGGCUGCAACUCGCCUACAUGAAGUCGGAAUCGCUAGUAAUCGCGGAUCAGCACGCCGCGGUGAAUACCGGUUCCCGGGCCUU
Molecule: ribosomal RNA, 381 nt
Filed under: uncultured Streptococcus sp.
Lineage: Bacteria; Bacillati; Bacillota; Bacilli; Lactobacillales; Streptococcaceae
Description: bacterial SSU rRNA
Rfam family: Bacterial small subunit ribosomal RNA
Source: RNAcentral